Molecule: ribosomal RNA, 324 nt
Filed under: uncultured Bacillota bacterium
Lineage: Bacteria; Bacillati; Bacillota
Description: bacterial SSU rRNA
Rfam family: Bacterial small subunit ribosomal RNA
Source: RNAcentral
GACGAACGCUGGCGGCGUGCUUAACACAUGCAAGUCGAGCGAUGAAGCUCCUUCGGGAGUGGAUUAGCGGCGGACGGGUGAGUAACACGUGGGUAACCUGCCUCAUAGAGGGGAAUAGCCUUUCGAAAGGAAGAUUAAUACCGCAUAAGAUUGUAGUUUCGCAUGAAACAGCAAUUAAAGGAGUAAUCCGCUAUGAGAUGGACCCGCGUCGCAUUAGCUAGUUGGUGAGGUAACGGCUCACCAAGGCGACGAUGCGUAGCCGACCUGAGAGGGUGAUCGGCCACAUUGGGACUGAGACACGGCCCAGACUCCUACGGGAGGCAG